UGGCCUAUGGUGUAAUUGGUAACACACCGGUUUUUGGUACCGUCAUUCAAGGUUCGAGUCCUUGUAGGCCAACAA
Molecule: transfer RNA, 75 nt
Filed under: Polaribacter sp. MED152
Lineage: Bacteria; Pseudomonadati; Bacteroidota; Flavobacteriia; Flavobacteriales; Flavobacteriaceae
Also listed under: 1 other name
Description: tRNA-Gln
Rfam family: tRNA
About the family: Transfer RNA (tRNA) molecules are approximately 80 nucleotides in length.
Source: RNAcentral